AGAGUUUGAUCCUGGCUCAGGAUGAACGCUGGCGGCGUGCCUAACACAUGCAAGUCGAGCGAUCUUCUUCGGAAGAGAGCGGCGGACGGGUGAGUAACGCGUGGGUAACCUGCCUCAUACACAUGGAUAACAUACCGAAAGGUAUGCUAAUACAAGAUGAUAUAAGAGAUUCGCAUGGAUUUCUUAUCAAAGCUCCGGCGGUAUGAGAUGGACCCGCGUCUGAUUAGCUAGUUGGUAAGGUAACGGCUUACCAAGGCGACGAUCAGUAGCCGACCUGAGAGGGUGAUCGGCCACAUUGGAACUGAGACACGGUCCAAACUCCUACGGGAGGCAGCAGUGGGGAAUAUUGCACAAUGGGCGAAAGCCUGAUGCAGCAACGCCGCGUGAGCGAUGAAGGCCUUCGGGUCGUAAAGCUCUGUCCUCAAGGAAGAUAAUGACGGUACUUGAGGAGGAAGCCCCGGCUAACUACGUGCCAGCAGCCGCGGUAAUACGUAGGGGGCUAGCGUUAUCCGGAUUUACUGGGCGUAAAGGGUGCGUAGGUGGUUUCUUAAGUCAGGAGUGAAAGGCUACGGCUCAACCGUAGUAAGCUCUUGAAACUGGGAAACUUGAGUGCAGGAGAGGAAAGUGGAAUUCCUAGUGUAGCGGUGAAAUGCGUAGAUAUUAGGAGGAACACCAGUAGCGAAGGCGGCUUUCUGGACUGUAACUGACACUGAGGCACGAAAGCGUGGGGAGCAAACAGGAUUAGAUACCCUGGUAGUCUACGCCGUAAACGAUGAGUACUAGGUGUCGGGGGUUACCCCCCUCGGUGCCGCAGCUAACGCAUUAAGUACUCCGCCUGGGGAGUACGCUCGCAAGAGUGAAACUCAAAUGAAUUGACGG
This 879-nucleotide ribosomal RNA is filed under the name uncultured bacterium. RNAcentral describes it as "bacterial SSU rRNA". It matches the Rfam family "Bacterial small subunit ribosomal RNA", at positions 8 to 916 of the family's 1533-position model. The record is from RNAcentral.